RNAcentral lists this ribosomal RNA (480 nucleotides) under uncultured bacterium. Its description in RNAcentral is "bacterial SSU rRNA". It matches the Rfam family "Bacterial small subunit ribosomal RNA", at positions 28 to 496 of the family's 1533-position model. The record is from RNAcentral.
GAUGAACGCUAGCUACAGGCUUAACACAUGCAAGUCGAGGGGCAGCAUGAAGUCAGCUUGCUGACUUUGAUGGCGACCGGCGCACGGGUGAGUAACGCGUAUCCAACCUUCCCCUUACUCAGGAAUAGCCCGUUGAAAGACGGAUUAAUGCCUGAUGUUCUCAUGUUGCCGCAUGGCGAUAUGAGCAAAGAUUCAUCGGUAAGGGAUGGGGAUGCGUAUGAUUAGCUUGUUGGCGGGGUAACGGCCCACCAAGGCAACGAUCAUUAGGGGUUCUGAGAGGAAGGUCCCCCACACUGGAACUGAGACACGGUCCAGACUCCUACGGGAGGCAGCAGUGAGGAAUGUUGGUCAAUGGUCUGACGACUGAACCAGCCAUGCCGCGUGAAGGUGACGGCCCUAUGGGGUCUUAAAACUUCUUUUGUAAGGGAGCAAUAAGGUCUACGUGUAGUCUGAUGAGAGUACCUUACGAAUAAGCAUCGG